UUUCCGUAGGUGAACCUGCGGAGGGAUCAUUACUGAGUGAGGGCCUUCGGGCUCGACCUCCAACCCUUUGUGAACACAACUUGUUGCUUCGGGGGCGACCCUGCCGUUUCGACGGCGAGCGCCCCCGGAGGCCUUCAAACACUGCAUCUUUGCGUCGGAGUUUAAGUAAAUUAAACAAACCUUUCAACAACGGAUCUCUUGGUUCUGGCAUCGAUGAAAAACGCCAGC
This 228-nucleotide unclassified non-coding RNA is filed under the name uncultured fungus. Its description in RNAcentral is "sequence contains ITS1, 5.8S rRNA gene". The record is from RNAcentral. Lineage: Eukaryota; Fungi.